Molecule: ribosomal RNA, 516 nt
Filed under: uncultured bacterium
Lineage: Bacteria
Description: bacterial SSU rRNA
Rfam family: Bacterial small subunit ribosomal RNA
Source: RNAcentral
AGAGUUUGAUCAUGGCUCAGAUUGAACGCUGGCGGUAUGCUUAACACAUGCAAGUCGAACGGUAACAGCAGAGCUUGCUCUGGCUGACGAGUGGCGGACGGGUGCGUAACGCGUAGGAAUCUGCCUAUUAGUGGGGGACAACCUGGUGAAAACCAGGCUAAUACCGCAUACGCCCUACGGGGGAAAGCAGGGGAUCUUCGGACCUUGCGCUAAUAGAUGAGCCUGCGUUAGAUUAGCUAGUUGGUGAGGUAAUGGCUCACCAAGGCGACGAUCUAUAGCUGGUCUGAGAGGACGAUCAGCCACACUGGGACAGAGACACGGCCCAGACUCCUACGGGAGGCAGCAGUGGGGAAUAUUGGACAAUGGGCGAAAGCCUGAUCCAGCAAUACCGCGUGUGUGAAGAAGGCCUGAGGGUUGUAAAGCACUUUCAAUUGAGAGGAAAACAGGCAGGUUAAUAUCCUGUCUCUUGACAUUACCUUUAGAAGAAGCACCGGCUAACUCCGUGCCAGCAGCCGC